Molecule: non-coding RNA, 2206 nt
Organism: Lolium perenne
Lineage: Eukaryota; Viridiplantae; Streptophyta; Magnoliopsida; Poales; Poaceae
Source: RefSeq, a predicted model, not a curated record
AGGAGGCAGCCAACCCACCCCCUCUCCCUCUAUAUAAAGGGGCUUGGCAGCCCACUCCCUCCUCACUUGCUCUCAUUUCCCACUCUCCACUCCUCUCCACUCCUCUCCUUUGCCUCAUUUCUUUUCACUCCCUACUAUUUCCUCCACUCCCUCACACUCUCCUCCUCCACUUCCCCACGAAAAUGGUGCUCCCCUUGCUCCCAUGGCCGGCCAUAGCCAUGGCAAGCCACCAAGAUGAAGCUCUCCCCCUCCCUCAAGCUCAUCCUCACCAUGAGAGCCUCCCCCUCCAUCUUCUCCCCAACCUUAGAUGGUUUAAUAUCCUCUUCUUCUCCCUCCAUUGCUAAGAUUGGAUCUUGAUGCAGGUGUAUGUUGGUCCAAGCAUGUAGAAGGUUGAGCUAUCCUCAGAUCUGAAGUUCUUGAGCAAAAUCCAAAUCGAGUGGUUCAAAGUUCUGCAGAUAGAUCAAGAUCUGGUCAGAUCUGACUUUGUCGAAUUAAAUCAGGAGCUUGGAAACGAAUUUUUGAAUGAAACCAGUUGGGGGAUAUUUGGUUUAUACCAUGGUGAUAACCGAGAGAGGCAGUUGCUAAGUUGUGACGCACUCAUACCUCUACUAGAUGCGAACAAUUCCGGAGAAGAAGAAGAAGUGGUUCGGACAAGGAUUUUAUUUAUAUUGAUAGGAUUCUUAUAUUGAUGGAGUUGAAGAAGUACAGGGACAAAUAAGCCAAGGCAAGCCAUCUUUUGAUCUCUGAUCCGGUGUCUAGUUGGAUGUCAUUUGUUGAUGUUCAAAGCACCUUCAUUCUAUGUGUGUUAUUAUCUCUAUUUAUGUCAUCUAUGUGUGAUUGCAAGUGGGGUACUCCCUAGUGGUGAUGCUCCACUAUUGUCCUUGUGUUAUGGGAUGCAUGGUAACAUGGCCGUGCUAUUCCACUUGGUGAUCUUGUAUGCUCAACUUGAGCAUGUUCCAUCUCAAGAUAUUAACUUACACCACACCCACCCCCUUUGUAGUAUAGAGGUAUCAAUGUCAUGAUCUUGGUGUAUUCUCAACUUGAGAGGAGUAUGCCGUGUACCACCUUGGAGAAUAUGUUGGAUAGUGACACUCCACUAUCUAAGUUGUGUAGUUAGCACCACAAAUCUGAGAGUAUAUUCCUCCUUGUGUUGUCAUAAUACAUGCUUACCUUAAGCAAGUAUGAUCCACUCCACUACCCCUUUAUACCUCAUCUAUGGCGGUAUGACUCUCAUCUCGGCCGUAGUGCAAUACUAGUUCAACUCAUGAAACUAUAGGUUGGGAAUCCCUCAAGGUUUUCCUUGUUGUAAAUGUUUAUGAAAACCUUGGGUGAGGCAAUCUUACCCAAGCGUAUGGUUUAUGAAAGGAAAGGAUCUUGACAAAGAUGGUUGGAAAGAGGAAAUGUGUGUGUGACUUGGGUUUUUGAGAAAAACGACACAUGGUUCUCUGUAUUCGCCCGGAACAAUUAACCCGCGCAACCACACUACUCCAACGUGGGCACGGGGCUUAGCUUGACGUUUGUUCUUCUUAGCAUGAGGCACCGCACAACUAUACAAGGGUACGGUUACCCCCGAGUCCGGGUUGUCGUAGUUGGAGACAAUCGUAUAACGGGAGGCCUUCGGGGCUGACCCGUCCGGAAGACAAUAUGGGUCUCCUGGCUUGGCGGUGGAGCCACGCUCGAAGGGAGGUGAGCUGCCACGGUGCCGGGGAGGUACAUACUCCAUAGGGUAGGACCUCUUGCUAAGUUGAAUAGGCGAAAGGCUUCGACUGAUUAUCCGAGACUCGCAUACUUUCGUAUGACGAACCGGGGAUGAUCCCGGCGGAUUUAUCAGAUCUUGUGGGGAAAGUGCGCACACUCUGCAGAGUUAAAACUAUUCGAAUAGCCGCGUCCGCGGUCAUGGACGGUUGGGAUGGCCGUUACCGAGCUGUGUCGAGUUUUGGUUUAGAAAAUGAUUUCCAAAGGAAAUGUGUGUGUUGGAUGUACCAGAAGGGUACGGAAAGGCUGGUGCCGACCAUAUGGAGAUGGUCGAGGAUAAUGAAACAAAAUUGGGUGACCCUUCCUAUUGUUUCAUGUAGAGGGACUCUUCUUCAAUAAAGAUAUAGAGAUGUCGUAGUUUAUCUUUUGAAGUAUCUUCUUCAACAAAGAUAUAGAGAUGUCGUAGUUUAUCUUUUGAAGUAUCUUCUUCAACAAAGAUAUAGAGAUGUCA